RNAcentral lists this ribosomal RNA (405 nucleotides) under uncultured Sphingomonas sp. Its description in RNAcentral is "bacterial SSU rRNA". It matches the Rfam family "Bacterial small subunit ribosomal RNA", at positions 354 to 776 of the family's 1533-position model. The record is from RNAcentral. Lineage: Bacteria; Pseudomonadati; Pseudomonadota; Alphaproteobacteria; Sphingomonadales; Sphingomonadaceae.
GUGGGGAAUAUUGGACAAUGGGCGCAAGCCUGAUCCAGCAAUGCCGCGUGAGUGAUGAAGGCCUUAGGGUUGUAAAGCUCUUUUACCCGGGAUGAUAAUGACAGUACCGGGAGAAUAAGCUCCGGCUAACUCCGUGCCAGCAGCCGCGGUAAUACGGAGGGAGCUAGCGUUGUUCGGAAUUACUGGGCGUAAAGCGCACGUAGGCGGCCAUUUAAGUUAGAGGUGAAAGCCCGGGGCUCAACCCCGGAAUUGCCUUUGAUACUGGAUGGCUUGAAUCCGGGAGAGGUGAGUGGAAUUCCGAGUGUAGAGGUGAAAUUCGUAGAUAUUCGGAAGAACACCAGUGGCGAAGGCGGCUCACUGGACCGGCAUUGACGCUGAGGUGCGAAAGCGUGGGGAGCAAACAGG